This is a non-coding RNA of Acanthosepion pharaonis, 113 nucleotides long. Lineage: Eukaryota; Metazoa; Mollusca; Cephalopoda; Sepiida; Sepiidae. The record is from the annotation of a GenBank genome assembly.
ACAGCCAUAUCAUGUUGAAACACCAGUUCCAGUAUGAUCACUGAAGUUAAGCAAUGUCAAGCCUGGUCAGUACCUAGAUGGGUGACUUGCUUGGGAAUGCCAGGCGCUGUAAG